UACAGAGGGUGCAAGCGUUAAUCGGAAUUACUGGGCGUAAAGCGCGCGUAGGUGGUUCGUUAAGUUGGAUGUGAAAUCCCCGGGCUCAACCUGGGAACUGCAUCCAAAACUGGCGAGCUAGAGUAUGGUAGAGGGUGGUGGAAUUUCCUGUGUAGCGGUGAAAUGCGUAGAUAUAGGAAGGAACACCAGUGGCGAAGGCGACCACCUGGACUGGUAUUGACGCUGAGGUGCGAAAGCGUGGGGAGCAAACAGG
This 253-nucleotide ribosomal RNA is filed under the name uncultured bacterium. RNAcentral describes it as "partial 16S ribosomal RNA". It matches the Rfam family "Bacterial small subunit ribosomal RNA", at positions 524 to 776 of the family's 1533-position model. The record is from RNAcentral.